This 1208-nucleotide long non-coding RNA is filed under the name Gossypium barbadense (sea-island cotton). Its description in RNAcentral is "long non-coding RNA (GBAR_LNC002608)". The record is from RNAcentral. Lineage: Eukaryota; Viridiplantae; Streptophyta; Magnoliopsida; Malvales; Malvaceae.
CCUAAUAUAUCAGCAACUCAAAGAAGAGGGGCUGACUGCAUAAAUAACCCCUUUUGACGAAACAUGCGGGUUCCCCUAGGUAUCGGAUCGGGUCACACGGGUCACUGGGUCAUGCCAUUAUACGACACCCUUUUUGGGUCCUUAUAAAGGCUAAAGCAAAGCCAAAAAAAAAUAACAUUCGGUCCUCCAUCAUAAGACAAAACCCUAAUCCCCUUUAGAAAAUUUAACCCUAAAUGCUCUCACACCCGAACGUCGAAUUCAGCGAAAAAGAAGGCCACCGUGAAAGCCAUGGACGAAAUCCCUUACUCGAACCUCCACACUUCCCAGGCAUUCGGGUUCUUAGUGGCCAACACCUAGGUAAAACCCUUUCUUUGACUUUUAUUUCAAAUAGAUUUGCAUAAGAAACAAGAAAUAAAUAAGAAAGGAAAAAAAUAGAAACGCAAAUACAAAGAAGAAUACCAGAAAAAAAAUAAAGUAACCUUUAGAACUUUGAGUCUGAUUCUUUUUAUUGAUUUCUCUUUUGUGUGUAUUUUGUUAUAUUCCCAAAAAAAGAUCCCCCUCUUUUACAUAUGUUUACGAAGGCUUUUAUAGCCCUUUUUUACAACGUGUUUUACGCGUUUGUAGGUACGAUUGAGCACGUCUCUAAUGUGGCGUGGUGGAUGAGCGUAAGACGUAGAAGGGUGCGCAACGUGCGGUGCCUGGAGACUGCUUCGAUUGCGACGGCUGAAGGUUGGCUGUUAGGGUUCUGCCGAAAAUGUUUUUUUUUUUUGGUUUUGGGCUAAAAAUUUGGGCUAGGGUUCAGGUGUUUUAGGAUUGGGUUUGUAUUGGGCUUGGUUGUAUUGGUUCUGAGGGUAUUUUGUUUAAAUUUAGUAUUAGUUUGGGCCCCGGGCUAAAAUUGGGCCUAACUGAUGUUUUAUCUAUUAAACUAUUAAAUCCUUUACUGAGGGCCGAAAUAUUAUUUUCUUGCUUAGAAUCUAUAUGCAUAAUAUGACUGCAGGUUUUAUCUUUAUAUAAACAAUCUGUUUCUUCCCUGUUACUUAUCUUGGUGCCUAAAACCGUCUGUUAUAUUAUUUUGUCUUAAUCACAAAGGCCUUAUGUCUCUCACUCAGACUUAAACAGGCAAAAGUAAGACAAAAUAACAGAUAUAUGGGUUUCAAGAUAAAUAACCACAGAAUUAACGAAAUUGCAAAUUAAGGAUAAAAACUUAC